This 253-nucleotide ribosomal RNA is filed under the name uncultured bacterium. RNAcentral describes it as "partial 16S ribosomal RNA". It matches the Rfam family "Bacterial small subunit ribosomal RNA", at positions 524 to 776 of the family's 1533-position model. The record is from RNAcentral.
UACGUAGGGUGCGAGCGUUAAUCGGGAUUACUGGGCGUAAAGCGUGCGCAGGCGGUUCGCCAAGUCAGGUGUGAAAUCCCCGGGCUUAACCUGGGAAUUGCGCUUGAAACUAGCGGGCUUGAGUGUGGCAGAGGGGGGUGGAAUUCCACGUGUAGCAGUGAAAUGCGUAGAGAUGUGGAGGAACACCGAUGGCGAAGGCAGCCCCCUGGGUCAACACUGACGCUCAUGCACGAAAGCGUGGGGAGCAAACAGG